CCUACGGGAUGCAGCAGUCGAGAAUCAUUCACAAUGGGGGAAACCCUGAUGGUGCGACGCCGCGUGGGGGAGUGAAGGUCUUCGGAUUGUAAACCCCUGUCAUGUGGGAGCAAAUUAAAAAGAUAGUACCACAAGAGGAAGAGACGGCUAACUCUGUGCCAGCAGCCGCGGUAAUACAGAGGUCUCAAGCGUUGUUCGGAAUCACUGGGCGUAAAGCGUGCGGAGGCUGUUUCGUAAGUCGUGUGUGAAAGGCGCGGGCGCAACCCGCGGACGGCACAUGAUACUGCGAGACUAGAGUAAUGGAGGGGGAACCGGAAUUCUCGGUGUAGCAGUGAAAUGCGUAGAUAUCGAGAGGAACACUCGUGGCGAAGGCGGGUUCCUGGACAUUAACUGACGCUGAGGCACGAAGGCCAGGGGAGCGAAAGGGAUUAGAUACCCCUGUAGUC
RNAcentral lists this ribosomal RNA (446 nucleotides) under uncultured bacterium. Its description in RNAcentral is "partial 16S ribosomal RNA". It matches the Rfam family "Bacterial small subunit ribosomal RNA", at positions 338 to 795 of the family's 1533-position model. The record is from RNAcentral.